Molecule: ribosomal RNA, 371 nt
Filed under: uncultured organism
Description: bacterial SSU rRNA
Rfam family: Bacterial small subunit ribosomal RNA
Source: RNAcentral
CAGAGGGUGCGAGCGUUGUUCGGAAUUACUGGGCGUAAAGCGCGCGCAGGCGGCUUCUUAAGUCCGUCGGUCAAAUGCCGGGGCUCAACCCCGAGCGUGCCGAGGAUACUGGGAGGCUGGAGACAUGUAGAGGCAAGCGGAAUUCCGGGUGUAGCGGUGGAAUGCGUAGAGAUCCGGAAGAACACCGGAGGCGAAGGCGGCUUGCUGGGCAUGGUCUGACGCUGAGGCGCGAAAGCGUGGGGAGCGAACAGGAUUAGAUACCCUGGUAGUCCACGCCGUAAACGAUGGGCACUAGACGCGGGUGGGAUCGACCCCUUCGUGUCGAAGCUAACGCGAUAAGUCGCCCCGCUGGGGAUACGGCCGCAAGGCUG